UUAUCCACCUCUCAAUUUACCCUCUGUUCCUGAUAACAAGGAGGACAAGGGGCACAAAUGGGACUCGGAUUUUACAUGUGGCCACUAUUGAAUCAAGGGCUGCCUAAUCUUCAGAGGGAGGUGCUAAUACGUUAUCUGGAUUUGCUGAUGAGGGACAUGAGAGGUUAAGACUCCUGCCCGACACCACACAGCUCCCGCAGGCCAAACAGCAUGGGAACAACUGGGGAAGAAAGGAAAAGAUUAUGGUCCAUCCCUCUCCUAUGUGCUCUGCCCUUCUGCCAAGACGCUUCAGUAACUUCCAGGUGCCUGACGUUCCCCUUGGAGACACUCGCUGUAACUCACUGCCAGCUUUCACGCUCAGACUGGGAACAUCUGUCCCAGUGUCUGAGCAUCAGUCAGGUAAAACACCUGUAUCUGAAGGGAGUCAGACUGACUGUUUAGUGCUGAGCCCCUCUGAGUUCUGCUGGAUAAAGUUUCAGGCACCCUGAACACCCUGCACCUCACGGCCUGUGGAAUCAGACUCCCAGCUCAGUGCCAUCCUGCCUUCCUGUGCUGCUGCUCCCAGCUCACCAGCUUCAGCUACAUAAAGAACUGCACUGCUGUGGCCACCUUGGAUAAGCUGCUGUACCACACUGCUAAGCUGAGUAACUUAAACCAGGAGCAGUACUCUAUUCCGCAGGACAUUUUUCUUCUCCGGGAUUCUGUCCACCCACUGAGACUGGACCAGGUUCAUGAUGCACUGAUGAGGAUUGUGCAAUCAUCUCGACUCCUCCUUACUCAGUUGACCUUGUUUCCAGAUUAGAC
RNAcentral lists this long non-coding RNA (804 nucleotides) under Heterocephalus glaber (naked mole-rat). Its description in RNAcentral is "lncRNA (ENSHGLG00000030649.2)". Lineage: Eukaryota; Metazoa; Chordata; Mammalia; Rodentia; Bathyergidae. The record is from RNAcentral.